UAGAUGGUAGGGUAAAGGCCUACCAUGGCGACGAUGGGUAGCCGGCCUGAGAGGGUGAACGGCCACACUGGAACUGAGAGACGGUCCAGACUCCUACGGGAGGCAGCAGCUAAGAAUCUUCCGCAAUGGGCGCAAGCCUGACGGAGCGACGCCGCGUGAACGAUGAAGGCCGCAAGGUUGUAAAGUUCUUUUCGGGAAGGAGAAUAAGGGGAGCAGGCAAUGGCUUUCCGAUGCCGUGAAUCCCGGAAUAAGCCCCGGCUAACUACGUGCCAGCAGCCGCGGUAACACGUAGGGGGCGAGCGUUGUUCGGAAUCAUUGGGCGUAAAGGGCGCGCAGGCGGCGUAUAAAGUCUGGCGUGAAAGUCCCCGGCUCAACCGGGGGAUAGCGUUGGAAACUGGUAUGCUUGAGUACGAGAGGGGAUGGCGGAAUUCCAGGUGUAGGGGUGAAAUCUGUAGAUAUCUGGAGGAACACCGACGGCGAAGGCAGCCAUCUGGUUCAGUACUGACGCUGAGGCGCGAAGGUGCGGGGAGCAAACAGGUUUAGAUACCCUGGUAGUCCGCACAGUAAACGAUGUGCACCAGGUGUCGGGCAACAGCUGUUCGGUAC
This 606-nucleotide ribosomal RNA is filed under the name uncultured bacterium. RNAcentral describes it as "bacterial SSU rRNA". It matches the Rfam family "Bacterial small subunit ribosomal RNA", at positions 246 to 846 of the family's 1533-position model. The record is from RNAcentral.